Long non-coding RNA from Heterocephalus glaber (naked mole-rat), 605 nucleotides. RefSeq lists it as uncharacterized. The record is from RefSeq and is a predicted model, not a curated record. Lineage: Eukaryota; Metazoa; Chordata; Mammalia; Rodentia; Bathyergidae.
GCAUGGCAUGUGGAUUGGGUAGCUGUCAAGAGAGAAAGCUGGCACCUGAUGAGCUGUAGCGCACAGGUGAGCACAUUCACCUUGUGGUGAGUGAGCUCCCGUGUGCCUCGUGAGCAUCCGCACUAGCAGUGCCGGUGAGUGUUCUGGGAGUGUUCCGGUGCAGUGCAGCCUUAAAUCCUGAGUAAAGAAUAUCCUGAGAGAGCACAAGAAAGGAUGAAAAAUAUCUCCAUACAAGAUUAUCUGGAAAAUUGAUCCAAGCAGGAUGAGAUACCAUGUAGUAGUAUUCAGUCUUCAGAGUUGGUGGUCUGAACUUGAAAUUUUUCAGUUAUUCUACAUCAAGUCCUGAACUACUGGUUAGUGUGAAGAAGGAAGGAGCAGGACGUCUGCUGAGGCUAGAAGCAGUGAGGCUGUCACUAGCAGGCUGGGGACCUGAGAAGCACUGUGGAUGGGCGGAAGCAGCUGCACUAGGGACCUCAGAAGUGGACACCUGGAGAAGACACAUGUCCAAGGCACUUGGGAGCCAACAGAAAUUGAUCUUAGCUGGGGAUUAGAUGGAUGCUUAUUCUCUCUCUCUCUCUCUCUCUCUCUCUCUCUCUCUCUCUCCC